GACGAACGCUGGCGGCGUGCUUAACACAUGCAAGUCGAACGGAAAGGCCCUGCUUUUGUGGGGUGCUCGAGUGGCGAACGGGUGAGUAACACGUGAGUAACCUGCCCUUGACUUUGGGAUAACUUCAGGAAACUGGGGCUAAUACCGGAUAGGAGCUCCUGCUGCAUGGUGGGGGUUGGAAAGUUUCGGCGGUUGGGGAUGGACUCGCGGCUUAUCAGCUUGUUGGUGGGGUAGUGGCUUACCAAGGCUUUGACGGGUAGCCGGCCUGAGAGGGUGACCGGCCACAUUGGGACUGAGAUACGGCCCAGACUCCUACGGGAGGCAGCAGUGGGGAAUAUUGCACAAUGGGCGGAAGCCUGAUGCAGCAACGCCGCGUGCGGGAUGACGGCCUUCGGGUUGUAAACUGCUUUCGCCUGUGACGAAGCGUGAGUGACGGUAAUGGGUAAAGAAGCACCGGCUAACUACGUGCCAGCAGCCGCGGUGAUACGUAGGGUGCGAGCGUUGUCCGGAUUUAUUGGGCGUAAAGGGCUCGUAGGUGGUUGAUCGCGUCGGAAGUGUAAUCUUGGGGCUUAACCCUGAGCGUGCUUUCGAUACGGGUUGACUUGAGGAAGGUAGGGGAGAAUGGAAUUCCUGGUGGAGCGGUGGAAUGCGCAGAUAUCAGGAGGAACACCAGUGGCGAAGGCGGUUCUCUGGGCCUUUCCUGACGCUGAGGAGCGAAAGCGUGGGGAGCGAACAGGCUCAGAUACCCUGGUAGUCCACGCUGUAAACGGUGGGUACUAGGUGUGGGGUCCAUUCCACGGGUUCCGUGCCGUAGCUAACGCUUUAAGUACCCCGCCUGGGGAGUACGGCCGCAAGGCUAAAACUCAAAGGAAUUGACGGGGCCCCGCACAAGCGGCGGAGCAUGCGGAUUAAUUCGAUGCAACGCGUAGAACCUUACCUGGGUUUGACAUGGAUCGGGAGUGCUCAGAGAUGGGUGUGCCUCUUUUGGGGUCGGUUCACAGGUGGUGCAUGGCUGUCGUCAGCUCGUGUCGUGAGAUGUUGGGUUAAGUCCCGCAACGAGCGCAACCCUUGUUCACUGUUGCCAGCACGUUAUGGUGGGGACUCAGUGGAGACCGCCGGGGUCAACUCGGAGGAAGGUGGGGAUGACGUCAAGUCAUCAUGCCCCUUAUGUCCAGGGCUUCACGCAUGCUACAAUGGCUGGUACAGAGAGUGGCGAGCCUGUGAGGGUGAGCGAAUCUCGGAAAGCCGGUCUCAGUUCGGAUUGGGGUCUGCAACUCGACCUCAUGAAGUCGGAGUCGCUAGUAAUCGCAGAUCAGCAACGCUGCGGUGAAUACGUUCCCGGGGCU
This 1346-nucleotide ribosomal RNA is filed under the name uncultured bacterium. Its description in RNAcentral is "partial 16S ribosomal RNA". It matches the Rfam family "Bacterial small subunit ribosomal RNA", at positions 28 to 1381 of the family's 1533-position model. The record is from RNAcentral.